GAUGAACGCUGGCGGCGUGCCUAAUACAUGCAAGUCGAGCGAACGGACGAGAGGCUUGCUUUUCUGAUGUUAGCGGCGGACGGGUGAGUAACACGUGGAUAACCUACCUAUAAGACUGGGAUAACUUCGGGAAACCGGAGCUAAUACCGGAUAAUAUUUUGAACCGCAUGGUUCAAAAGUGAAAGACGGUCUUGCUGUCACUUAUAGAUGGAUCCGCGCUGCAUUAGCUAGUUGGUAAGGUAACGGCUUACCAAGGCAACGAUGCAUAGCCGACCUGAGAGGGUGAUCGGCCACACUGGAACUGAGACACGGUCCAGACUCCUACGGGAGGCAGCAGUAGGGAAUCUUCCGCAAUGGGCGAAAGCCUGACGGAGCAACGCCGCGUGAGUGAUGAAGGUCUUCGGAUCGUAAAACUCUGUUAUUAGGAAAGAACAUAUGUGUAAGUAACUGUGCACAUCUUGACGGUACCUAAUCAGAAAGCCACGGCUAACUACGUG
This 497-nucleotide ribosomal RNA is filed under the name uncultured bacterium. RNAcentral describes it as "partial 16S ribosomal RNA". It matches the Rfam family "Bacterial small subunit ribosomal RNA", at positions 28 to 507 of the family's 1533-position model. The record is from RNAcentral.